Molecule: ribosomal RNA, 484 nt
Filed under: uncultured bacterium
Lineage: Bacteria
Description: partial 16S ribosomal RNA
Rfam family: Bacterial small subunit ribosomal RNA
Source: RNAcentral
AUUGAACGCUGGCGGCAGGCCUAACACAUGCAAGUCGAGCGGAUGAAGGGAGCUUGCUCCAGGAUUCAGCGGCGGACGGGUGAGUAAUGCCUAGGAAUCUGCCUGGUAGUGGGGGAUAACGUCCGGAAACGGGCGCUAAUACCGCAUACGUCCUGAGGGAGAAAGUGGGGGAUCUUCGGACCUCACGCUAUCAGAUGAGCCUAGGUCGGAUUAGCUAGUUGGUGGGGUAAAGGCCUACCAAGGCGACGAUCCGUAACUGGUCUGAGAGGAUGAUCAGUCACACUGGAACUGAGACACGGUCCAGACUCCUACGGGAGGCAGCAGUGGGGAAUAUUGGACAAAGGGCGAAAGCCUGAUCCAGCCAUGCCGCGUGUGUGAAGAAGGUCUUCGGAUUGUAAAGCACUUUAAGUUGGGAGGAAGGGCAGUAAGUUAAUACCUUGCUGUUUUGACGUUACCAACAGAAUAAGCACCGGCUAACUUCGUG